RNAcentral lists this transfer RNA (77 nucleotides) under Parcubacteria group bacterium. RNAcentral describes it as "tRNA-Val". It matches the Rfam family "tRNA". From Rfam's summary of the family: Transfer RNA (tRNA) molecules are approximately 80 nucleotides in length. The record is from RNAcentral.
GGGAACUUGGCGCAGUUGGUUAGCGCGCUGCUUCGACAUAGCAGAGGUCACAGGUUCGAAUCCUGUAGUGCCCACUA